RNAcentral lists this unclassified non-coding RNA (421 nucleotides) under soil metagenome. RNAcentral's name for it is "partial contains 5.8S ribosomal RNA, internal transcribed spacer 2, and large subunit ribosomal RNA". The stretch from base 1 to 120 matches the Rfam family "5.8S ribosomal RNA", at positions 35 to 154 of the family's 154-position model. The record is from RNAcentral.
GAUGAAGAACGCAGCGAAAUGCGAUACGUAAUGUGAAUUGCAGAAUUCAGUGAAUCAUCGAAUCUUUGAACGCAUAUUGCGCUCUUUGGUAUUCCGAAGAGCAUGCUUGUUUGAGUAUCAGUAAACACCUCAACCUCUUCUUGAUUUUUCAAAAGGAGGGUGGACUUGAGCUAUCCCAACAACCUUUACCGGUCGGCGGGCGGCUUGAAAUGCAGGUGCAGCUGGACUUUUAUCUGAGCUAAAAGCAUAUCUAUUUAGUCCUCGUCAAACAGGAUUAUUACUUUUGCUGCAGCUAACAUAAAGGAUAAUUGUCCUCUUUGCUGACUGAUGCAGGAUUUUACGACACUUUAUGUGUUGUUCAACUCGAUCUCAAAUCAAGUAAGACUACCCGCUAAACUUAAGCAUAUCAAUAAGCGGAGGA